AUGGCUAAAUAUUGGUGGAGCAGCGACAUCGAUAGGAGAUCUCUUCAUUGGCUCUCUUGGAAGAAUCUCUCCGUUUCGAAACAAGGAGGCAUGGGUUUUCGUGACUUUGAACUCUUUAAUCUAGCCCUACUCGGUAAGCACGGGUGGCGGCUAAUGACACACCCGGACUCCUUGUGUGCUCGAGUUCUGAAGGGCAAGUACUUUCAUAACUGCAGCUUCAUGGAAGCUACUACACCUCGCUCGGCGUCUGCUACGUGGAAAGCUAUUAUCGCAGGUCGA
RNAcentral lists this ribosomal RNA (279 nucleotides) under Triticum aestivum (bread wheat). Its description in RNAcentral is "partial small subunit ribosomal RNA". Lineage: Eukaryota; Viridiplantae; Streptophyta; Magnoliopsida; Poales; Poaceae. The record is from RNAcentral.